GAGAUGAACAACUGUCAUGGAAGAGCCUGAAAGAGCUUACUCAAGGGGAAGGGCAGGGCUGGAGGGUUCCACCUGACUGCUGGUGGAAACUGCUCCACACUGCUGGAAACUGUCACCAACUGGUAUGGGAGGCACCGGGAAGAGCAGACCCUUAGCCAACCUUCAGCUAAGAGAGCCCACAGUGGAGUGAAAUUCAGCUAAGCAGUCUGCCCAUUUAGACAGACGUGGUGUCCAGGCACUGCUGCCAUCCUGAAUGCACAGCAAGUUGGGGGCUGCUCAGCAGGUCCUAGGGUAUGUGUGUCCAAGGGUGGAGUCCAGUCACACACCUGAAAGCAUCUCCACCUGUCUCCACUGUCCAAGGUGAGUGUGCCAUUUGGUAUCCUUAUCAGCAGCAUCUGAGAGGUCUGAUCUCGCCGUAUGCUUGACAAUACUUGAUCUAGUUUUUGUCUCGGGUUCUGGCCAUUGUAUUGAGUGUGAAAGGCUCCUCAGUGUGUCUGCAGCUCUCACUCCUCAUGACUCAUGAUGCUGAAUCUCUUUUUAAUUGCUGGUGCUCACUUGCACAACCCAUUUGGAGAAGUGUGGAUUCAGAUCCUCUGUCACUGUUUUGAUGGAAUUAUUUACCUUUUCUAUAUGCAACAUGCUUUUGUGACCUCAUGAUUACGGUCUUGUGUUAUCACUACUGCUAGGUAGUUUUUCUUUGGUACCACCUGUCAUAUAAACCAGGAAACUGAAACCUGUGAAGUCUCACUGGGAAGGUUGCAUAAUUAGCAGAUCCUGCUACACAAGGGAAAUAUGGAACCUUGGCCUAAAGUUCAUGAAGAAAAUGAAGAUUGCUGUGAAAGAGUGUUAAGUUCAUCUAUGAGCCAGAACAGCUCUUUCAGCCAUCAGAUCCCUUUGUCUAGCUGACUGUAAAGAUAAUAGCUGACAUUGUUCAGUGGUUAUUUUGUGCCAGUGUCUAAGGUAGGUGCCACAGAACACAUAGAAAUUUGACAAUCACCCCACUGGGUAGCUACUAUUAUUUCCAUUUUAUGGAUGAGAAACACUCUACUAGGGACCUCUCUACCCUAUGGUCUCAGCUGACACCAUAGGAUUUGACUGAUGUUUCACCUGUAGGACAGAAGGCCCAAGUUCUCAGGGUCAUGUGGCUUUGGUCCAGUUCUAGCCACUGUCAUGGCUGCCUCUCUGUUCCCCUCCCCCACCACCAUAGACUGCAAUAGUUCUGUGGGGUUUUGGCUUCUAUCUGCACUAUGUACAUUUCCAUGGUCCCCUCCUACUACAGCCUGGGUGCCCCCUGUCCCCUCAGAUGAGGUUCUUGCUUCUUGCCCUGUGUUUGACCUACACAUGGAGGGAUGGGUGUCUAGGUCUGCCUACCCUUCAUACUCAGUGUUCUGAGGUCCCAUCCCCAGCACCACCAUAAUACAGAGCUGAUCAGUGCUUUGG
This is a long non-coding RNA of Erinaceus europaeus (western European hedgehog), 1440 nucleotides long. RefSeq lists it as uncharacterized. The record is from RefSeq and is a predicted model, not a curated record. NCBI's taxonomy places the organism in Eukaryota, Metazoa, Chordata, Mammalia, Eulipotyphla, Erinaceidae. The transcript is spliced from 3 exons.